GACAGAGGGUGCAAACGUUGUUCGGAAUUACUGGGCGUAAAGCGCGUGUAGGCGGCCCUGCAAGUCGGGUGCGAAAUCCCACGGCUCAACCGUGGAAGUGCACUCGAAACUGCAAGGCUAGAGUCCUGGAGAGGAAGGUGGAAUGCUUGGUGUAGAGGUGAAAUUCGUAGAUAUCAAGCGGAACACCGGUGGCGAAGGCGGCCUUCUGGACAGUGACUGACGCUGAGACGCGAAAGCGUGGGGAGCAAACAGG
This 253-nucleotide ribosomal RNA is filed under the name uncultured bacterium. RNAcentral describes it as "partial 16S ribosomal RNA". It matches the Rfam family "Bacterial small subunit ribosomal RNA", at positions 524 to 776 of the family's 1533-position model. The record is from RNAcentral.